Molecule: ribosomal RNA, 162 nt
Filed under: Triticum aestivum (bread wheat)
Lineage: Eukaryota; Viridiplantae; Streptophyta; Magnoliopsida; Poales; Poaceae
Description: partial small subunit ribosomal RNA
Source: RNAcentral
AUGUUUCCCGAGAGAGAUUGCCUUCUCUCAGGCCAGCAGUCUUAUACUUAUAGUCGACUGCUCUAUGACGAUCUGACCUCUUUCCUGGGCUCUGCUUGCUCGUCUACGCUCCGACCAAUUCAGUCAAAAUUGAAAAAAUGAUGUUUCCUUGAAAAAGUCUAA